Molecule: long non-coding RNA, 180 nt
Filed under: Cercocebus atys (sooty mangabey)
Lineage: Eukaryota; Metazoa; Chordata; Mammalia; Primates; Cercopithecidae
Description: lncRNA (ENSCATG00000045723.1)
Source: RNAcentral
CACCCUAUCAGAGGGCUCUACCUAAAGGCCUGGGACACAAGCACAGCUGACAGUGAGGGCUGAAGUACAAGGUGCUGGGACCAGUUGUCGGCAAAGGGAGUGUGAUUCACUGAGUUAAUUACAUCAGGAUGGAGAAGAGAAGCAAAAAGCCCAAGCCAGGUAACUGGAACUACCUAUGAA